CUAGAUUUCGAAAACUAUUUAAA
RNAcentral lists this small nuclear RNA (23 nucleotides) under Arabidopsis thaliana (thale cress). Its description in RNAcentral is "snRNA_06218". Lineage: Eukaryota; Viridiplantae; Streptophyta; Magnoliopsida; Brassicales; Brassicaceae. The record is from RNAcentral.